Long non-coding RNA from Lathyrus oleraceus (garden pea), 667 nucleotides. RefSeq lists it as uncharacterized. The record is from RefSeq and is a predicted model, not a curated record. Lineage: Eukaryota; Viridiplantae; Streptophyta; Magnoliopsida; Fabales; Fabaceae. The transcript is spliced from 3 exons.
CCUAUAUGGUACCCUAGGUUUUCCGCCACCCCUCUUUCUCUCUUCUCCUUCUUCCACCACCAUAACAUUUCGUCUCCUUUUUUUCUCUCUUCUCUUUUAAUGUUUUCAUGGUUGCAAAGCAGAUGAAGAACAAGAAAGAUUUUUCUCUAGAGAAACAGUUGGAGAACAAGGAAGAAUUAUGAUUCAAGAUCUGUUUGAUUUGAGAUCUAUUUUAAUUUGUUUAUCUCAAUGGUGGAUUUUCAAUUCAACUAUGAUUGUUGCAUUCACACAAUAAGAAUCGAUUAGUAAAGGAAAUCGUUUGAUAGGAAAUUGCAAUAACAAACUAGAAAAUAAUUGAUUUUUCAUUAUUUAUUUCAGUUUAUAAACUUUUUGGAUCGGUCUCAGUGGCUUAACAUGUCUAUCAUCGCACUGUUUGGAGGAUUCUUUGCUAGCGGUUUCAAAAGAGCUUUUAAAAUCAAGUGAAAUAAAGGGGAACAGACUGCAAUAUUGCAGGCAAAGCGACAGAUAGAGCGACAGACUAGACUAGGGUAUUUGAGGCUGAGUCUUCUUAGAUACAUACUAAACGAAUGGUUCUAACCGGUUCACGCCGGAAAUUAUUGGUUGAGCGGGGGCAAUUUUUGUUGGUAUAAGCCCUAGAGGCCAAUACUUUUGGUACUUGUAUCGAAUU